GAGGGUAUAGCUCAAGUGGUAGAGCACGUGCUUGGUAUGCAUGAGGUCCUGGGUUCACUCCCCAGUACCUCCU
Molecule: transfer RNA, 73 nt
Filed under: Camelus bactrianus (Bactrian camel)
Lineage: Eukaryota; Metazoa; Chordata; Mammalia; Artiodactyla; Camelidae
Also listed under: 2 other names
Rfam family: tRNA
About the family: Transfer RNA (tRNA) molecules are approximately 80 nucleotides in length.
Source: Rfam by way of RNAcentral